RNAcentral lists this ribosomal RNA (483 nucleotides) under uncultured Anaeroplasma sp. RNAcentral's name for it is "bacterial SSU rRNA". It matches the Rfam family "Bacterial small subunit ribosomal RNA", at positions 8 to 507 of the family's 1533-position model. Lineage: Bacteria; Bacillati; Mycoplasmatota; Mollicutes; Anaeroplasmatales; Anaeroplasmataceae. The record is from RNAcentral.
AGAGUUUGAUCCUGGCUCAGGAUUAACGCUGGCGGCGUGCCUAAUACAUGCAAGUCGAACGGAAGUACCUUCGGGUACUUUAGUGGCGAACGGGUGAGUAAUACAUAGGUAACCUACCCUUAAGACGAGGAUAGCCAUUGGAAACGAUGGAUAAAACUGGAUAGGAUAUAGAGGAAGAAUCUUUUAUAUUUAAAAGAGAGAUCUGCUUAAGGAGGGGCCUGUGGCGCAUUAGCUAGUUGGUGGGGUAAGGGCCUACCAAGGCGAUGAUGCGUAGCCGGACUGAGAGGUUGAACGGCCACAAUGGAACUGAGAACGGUCCAUACUCCUACGGGAGGCAGCAGUAGGGAAUUUUCGGCAAUGGGGGGAACCCUGACCGAGCAACGCCGCGUGAACGAAGAAGCUAUUCGUAAUGUAAAGUUCUUUUAUCAGGGAAGAAAGAGGAAUUUGACGGUACCUGAGGAAUAAGCUCCGGCUAACUACGUG